CCUACGGGUGGCAGCAGUGGGGGAUAUUGCACAAUGGGGGGAACCCUGAUGCAGCGACGCCGCGUGGGUGAAGAAGCGCCUCGGCGCGUAAAGCCCUGUCAGCAGGGAAGAAAAUGACGGUACCUGAAGAAGAAGCCCCAGCUAAAUAGGUGCCAGCAGCCGCGGUAAUACGGAGGGGGCAAGCGUUAUCCGGAUUUACUGGGUGUAAAGGGGGCGCAGACGGCGAUGCAAGCCAGGGGUGAAAGCCGGGGGCCCAACCCCGGGACGGCUCUUGGAACUGCGUGGCUGGAGUGCAGGAGGGGCAGGCGGAAUUCCUGGUGUAGCAGUGAAAUGCGUAGAUAUCAGGAGGAACACCGGUGGCGAAGGCGGGCUGCUGGACUGCAACUGACGUUGAGGCCCGAAAGCGUGGGGAGCAAACAGGAUUAGAUACCCCAGUAGUC
This 440-nucleotide ribosomal RNA is filed under the name uncultured bacterium. RNAcentral's name for it is "partial 16S ribosomal RNA". It matches the Rfam family "Bacterial small subunit ribosomal RNA", at positions 338 to 795 of the family's 1533-position model. The record is from RNAcentral.